This 345-nucleotide ribosomal RNA is filed under the name Tomentella sublilacina. Its description in RNAcentral is "LSU rRNA". It matches the Rfam family "Bacterial large subunit ribosomal RNA", at positions 1713 to 2060 of the family's 2925-position model. Lineage: Eukaryota; Fungi; Basidiomycota; Agaricomycetes; Thelephorales; Thelephoraceae. The record is from RNAcentral.
GUUGGCAUUGCAUUGCCAUAGGCGCUUCGCAAAGCGGGGGGUGUGUAAGAGGAUAACAAACGGUGGUGUCACAAAAUCGGAGGCCACGACUGUUUACUAAAAACACAAUUCAGAGCAAUGAUGAAAAUCAUAGUAUUCUGGAUGAAAUUUGCCCGAUGCCAUUAACAUAAAAGAGGUAAUGGGAAACUGUUACUAAUUGAAAGUCUGGUUAAUAGCGGUCUUAACUAUGAGGAUCCUAAGGUAGCAAAAUCAGUUGGCCAUUAAAUGUGGUCUGGUAUCAAUAGUGUAACGAUGGUCUCACUGUCUCUACAACUUGCUCAGUGAAAUNGAAUUAUCCGUGCAGAU